RNAcentral lists this ribosomal RNA (402 nucleotides) under uncultured prokaryote. Its description in RNAcentral is "bacterial SSU rRNA". It matches the Rfam family "Bacterial small subunit ribosomal RNA", at positions 355 to 774 of the family's 1533-position model. The record is from RNAcentral.
UGGGGAAUAUUGGACAAUGGGCGCAAGCCUGAUCCAGCCAUGCCGCGUGUGUGAUGAAGGCCUUAGGGUUGUAAAGCACUUUCGCCGAUGAAGAUAAUGACUGUAGUCGGAGAAGAAGCCCCGGCUAACUUCGUGCCAGCAGCCGCGGUAAUACGAAGGGGGCUAGCGUUGUUCGGAAUUACUGGGCGUAAAGCGUACGUAGGCGGAUUGUUAAGUGAGGGGUGAAAUCCCGAGGCUCAACCUCGGAACUGCCUUUCAUACUGGCAAUCUUGAGGCCGGGAGAGGUGAGUGGAACUCCUAGUGUAGAGGUGAAAUUCGUAGAUAUUAGGAAGAACACCAGUGGCGAAGGCGGCUCACUGGCCCGGAACUGACGCUGAGGUACGAAAGCGUGGGGAGCAAACA